Molecule: ribosomal RNA, 394 nt
Filed under: uncultured bacterium
Lineage: Bacteria
Description: partial 16S ribosomal RNA
Rfam family: Bacterial small subunit ribosomal RNA
Source: RNAcentral
AUACGUAGGGGACGAGCGUUGUCCGGAAUUACUGGGCGUAAAGGGCGCGCAGGCGGAUAUUUAAGUCAGCUGUAAAAGGCAUGAGCUCAACUCAUGUAUGCGGUUGAAACUGGGUAUCUAGAGUGCUGGAGAGGUAGGCGGAAUUCCCGGUGUAGCGGUGAAAUGCGUAGAUAUCGGGAAGAACACCAGUGGCGAAGGCGGCUUACUGGUCAGCAACUUACGCUGAGGCGCGAAAGCCGGGGGAGCGAACGGGAUUAGAUACCCCGGUAGUCCUGGCAGUAAACGAUGUAUGCGGGGUGGGGGAGUAGCGAUACCUCCGGGUCGAAGGUAACGCGAUAAGCAUACCGGCUGGGGAGUACGGUCGCAAGAUUGAAACUUAAAGGAAUUGGCGGGG